AUCAAAGGGAAGAAAGGACAGCCCCAACACCCGGAGCCACUGUGGCUCCGGCCGGUUGCGCUGGCCCUCGGGCCCUCAGGGAGGCGAGGGUGCGAGGGAUAAAAAAAUAAAAAGAGUCGGAACAGCUCCCUGAGGAAAAAAAAAAAAAAAAAAAAAAGACUUGCAUUGUUGCCUAAUGUGUGGUCUACAAUUGAGACUGAUUCAUGUGCUGAGGAGAAGAAUGUGUAUUCUGCCGUCACUGGAUGAGAUGUUUUGCAGAGGAGUCCCUCCCUGUGUCCACCACCAUCACAAGCCCAGGGCAAGUACUGCUAGAGGGCUGCCUAUGAUCAGAUCUUCUGAGAACAUCAGAGAAAGACUGUCCUUGCAAUCUACACUACAGCAAGACUUCAGGACCUUGAACUUCAGGUUCAUAAUCUCACAACUGAGAAGGAUCCUUCCACACUCUUGGAACAGUGCACCCAUUGGAACUCUGAAGGUUAAGCUCACCAGGAAAGUUUCUCUCCAGAAGAAGAUAACACCCUUAAUGUGAACAGCUUUUCCCAAAAUCACGGAUUGAAACUUCUCUACACUCACGAGACUCUUAUCUUUGAAUAUUUUCCCUUGGUUAUGCUUCUGUGAACAAUAGACGUGAAAAGGGAGUCUGUUGUGUGCACUUAUGGGGCACACUUUUAUGUGUGAAGGAUUUUUCAGCCAGCCUUAUAUAUGGAUGACCUUAUAGUUUAAGAGAUAAAAGACAAAGACCCAAUGCAGUGUAUUUUUUAUUCUGUGUUCAAAGAUCACCAAUGAGAUUCCCAGUUGCCAAAUCCAAUCUUUAGUUUUCAUCUUAGUUCCUCUGAGCAACAUCUGAAAAAGGUGUCAUUAUAAGAGAGAGUCAGAGGAAGACUUCACUACAAUAAAUAAAUAAAUAAGAUGUGAUGCUGGAACCAAAGGUUGAUAUGACAUGCUUUGAAGGUAGUGGAAGAACACCUGGGCCAAGAAAUGCAGGUGGUCUUUUGAGGCUGGAAAGACAAGGAAAUAGAUUCUUCCCUGAACUCUCCAGAAGGAAUGCAAACCUACCAACGUCAUAAUUUUUGACUUACAAACCCCGGAAAUGAAAAAGAAUCAAUUUAUGUUGUUUGGAGUAAGCUAUGUGAUAGGCAACCUUGAAAUGGCCCCAGAUAAUCCCUGCCUCCAGACUAACAAAAUGAUAUUUGUGUCCAGAACCAGUUAAAGAGCUGUGGCAGUUCUAAGAACUUCCACCAAGAUAAAGCAUAUUCUGAAAGCUGGUUGCCAGAGAAACCAAUCAGCGAUAAAAGAAUUGGGACUUUCAGCUUCACCUUCUCUACCUCUGGGGAGGAAAGAAAGGGCAGAUAUUGAGCUCAAUCUCCAGUGGCUACUGGUUUAAUCAAUAAUGCUUACAUACUGAAGCUUCCUUAAAAACCCUAAAUGAAGGAGUUCAGAAAACCCCAGGUUCACCACAAUGAUGAAGACAUUCAUGUGCCUAGAGAGUAGCCCACCCUAACUCAGUGGGGCAGAAACUCCUGUGGUCAGAACCCUUCU
This 1539-nucleotide long non-coding RNA is filed under the name Homo sapiens (human). Its description in RNAcentral is "HSALNT0303743". The record is from RNAcentral. Lineage: Eukaryota; Metazoa; Chordata; Mammalia; Primates; Hominidae.